AACGAACGCUGGCGGCAGGCCUAACACAUGCAAGUCGAGCGAGGACUUCGGUCCUAGCGGCGGACGGGUGAGUAACGCGUGGGAACGUGCCCUUUGCUUCGGAAUAGCCCUGGGAAACUGGGAGUAAUACCGGAUGAGCCCUUUGGGGGAAAGAUUUAUCGGCGAAGGAUCGGCCCGCGUUGGAUUAGGUAGUUGGUGGGGUAAUGGCCUAACAAGCCGACGAUCCAUAGCUGGUUUGAGAGGAUGAUUAGCCACACUGGGACGGAGACCCGGCCCAGACCCCUACCGGAGGCAGCAGUGGGGAAUCUUAGACAAUGGGGGAAACCCUGAUCUAGCCAUGCCGCGUGAGCGAUGAAGGCCUUAGGGUUGUAAAGCUCUUUCAGCUGGGAAGAUAAUGACGGUACCAGCAGAAGAAGCCCCGGCUAACUCCGUG
RNAcentral lists this ribosomal RNA (433 nucleotides) under uncultured bacterium. Its description in RNAcentral is "partial 16S ribosomal RNA". It matches the Rfam family "Bacterial small subunit ribosomal RNA", at positions 29 to 507 of the family's 1533-position model. The record is from RNAcentral.